Long non-coding RNA from Gasterosteus aculeatus aculeatus (three-spined stickleback), 1743 nucleotides. The record is from Ensembl. NCBI's taxonomy places the organism in Eukaryota, Metazoa, Chordata, Actinopteri, Perciformes, Gasterosteidae.
AUAUAUAUAUAUAUAUAUAAAAAUUCAGUUAAGUACAGAAUACUAACAGACUUCAACUUAAUAUCUAUAGAAUUUAAGAAGAAGAGGGAGACUCACAUGUAGUUCUGAUUGUAAUGGGGCAAUUCUGUCCAGAGAGGGUCAGGGGACUGGCAUCAUUUCCUCUGGGGAAAAACAAGGCUGUUCUGGUCUAAAUCAGAUACGAAGUUUAGCUACAAAGUCCGUGUCCAUAAUAAAAAUUUAAAAACUCAACACAGACCUCCAUAAGUACAGUAUGUAUAGAUGCUGCUGCUCUUUUAUACUCAAAUACAGGGGGGUAAAAAAGAGUGGGGAUAUAGCAGUGACAACAACAUGCAUUUACGUAUAGAUGCUGGAGCUCUUUGGGGUUAUAACAGGGUCACUAAGGGAUUGAGUGUCAGUACCCCGCGUCAACGGGAGCCUCCAGGCGAUCGACCCAUGUUGUCUGGGUGCAGACGAUAAAUCGCGAUCAGAGUGGGAUCACAGAUCCUAGAGCGGGGCGGACAUGAGCGGCGCUCCACCCCAUAUCCCACAAGGUACUGGGAACCCCGACCGCGACGACGAACAUCCAAAAUUCUGUUGACGGUAUGAGCUGGACCUCAAUCAAUGAUAAUGCUCUGGAUCUCAAAUGGACCCAGGAAUCGGGAGGACAACUUCUGGGAUUCGGUCCUCAACGGGAUGUCUUUGUCAGAGAGCCACACCCUCUCUGGUAGCUUGGAGCAGGAAUGCGGCGGCGAUCUGCCAGGCCCUUCUGUUCUGUUCAGCCGUUCGGAGAAGAGCGGCCCGGGUCUCCUUCCACACCCUUUUACAGUGACGGAACUGAGGAGACCGCUAUCUCCACCUCCUGGGCGGCGAACAGAGGUGGCGUUCGUGAGUUCCUGGUCCUGGGCCGAGUCUGCGUUUUUUCCGUGUCUGCGUCCCCCCCCGACUGCCAUUUUGGGAUUUUGGAUUCGUUAAAGUUACCCUUUGUUUGUCAAAACUCUGCGUCUGAGCCCUGCUUCCUGCCACGCCACAUCUGACACUAUGAUGUCUGCUGUCUCCUGACCUGUAGGGAGCUGAGCUGCCUUGGGGAAGUGGUCCACCACUGUGACAAUGAGUGUUCCUUUGCGAGUGUUACGUUCCCCGUGCACUGCAGGAGUGUUGUUUAUUGUUUGAUUACACUUUGAUUGGUUUCCUGUGAAUUGCCCCUCCUCUAGGUCGCUGUGACUGGCGGAUCGGUCGUCAGUGGGGCGGAGGACGAGGGCCAAUCAGGAGACGGAGCCGCUGCUUAAGAGGGACGGCGGGCUCAUUCUCUGAAACCCCUCUCAGUAUUGCUGACGCUCAGGGCCGCCGAUUGUGGGCUGCUCUCCGGCACCCAGAUUGUUGUGCAUUUCAGACUGUUUUGGAUAAGUGUUUUCGUGUCAUCAGCGGCAUCAGCUGCAAAACCGCGCCGGGGGGGAAGAACGGUAGGUUAGUAUAUCGCGAUAUACAUCCUGCCCGUAGUUGUCCUGUGUAUAGACACCCUAGGGUAGAGGUGGCGCGCGUCUAAAGGUCCGCUUAGCGCGAAUGCAGGUAGAGGCACGCGAACGGGCAGAAAGCCGUCGGCUUGAGGCAGAUCUGAAGUUCCGACUUGAAAUCCGUCGACUUGAAAUCGAGGCGGAAACGCAGAUUAAGCUGCGGGCAUUGGAAAUAAGGGCAGCGGACAGAACACCGGUUCCGGGUACACAACCGUCGCAGUCUGCCGAUGCU